This 1316-nucleotide ribosomal RNA is filed under the name uncultured organism. Its description in RNAcentral is "bacterial SSU rRNA". It matches the Rfam family "Bacterial small subunit ribosomal RNA", at positions 99 to 1415 of the family's 1533-position model. The record is from RNAcentral.
CGCACGGGUGAGUAACGCGUAUGCAACCUACCUUUUACAGGAGGAUAGCCCAGAGAAAUUUGGAUUAAUACUCCAUAGUACUAAUGAAUCACCUGGUUUAUUAGUUAAAACUCCGGUGGUAAAAGAUGGGCAUGCGUGUCAUUAGCUAGUUGGUAAGGUAACGGCUUACCAAGGCGAAGAUGACUAGGGGUUCUGAGAGGAAGAUCCCCCACACUGGUACUGAGACACGGACCAGACUCCUACGGGAGGCAGCAGUGAGGAAUAUUGGUCAAUGGGUGAGAGCCUGAACCAGCCAUGCCGCGUGAAGGAAGACUGCCCUAUGGGUUGUAAACUUCUUUUCUGCAGGAAGAAAUCACUCUACGUGUAGGGUGUUGCCGGUACUGCAGGAAUAAGCAUCGGCUAACUCCGUGCCAGCAGCCGCGGUAAUACGGAGGAUGCAAGCGUUAUCCGGAUUUCUUGGGUUUACAGGGUGCGUAGGCGGGCUUGUACGUCAGUGGUGACAUGCUGUGGCUUACCCAUAGACUUGCCAUUGAAACUGCGAGUCUUGAGUACAGUUGAGGUGGGCGGACUGCGUCAUGUAGCGGUGCACCUGCCCUAGAUCUUACCUCAGAACUCCGAUUGCGUACGCAGCUUGCUCAACUGUAACUGACGCUGAUGCACGAUCGCGUGGGGAGCGACCAGGAUUAGAUACCCUGGUUGUCCACGCUGUAGACGAUGAGCACUGGUCGCUGGCAAUACACCGUCAGCGACUGAGCGAAAGUAUUAAGUGCUCCACCUGGGGAGUACGUCGGCAACGAUGAAACUCAAAGGAAUUGACGGGGGCCCGCACAAGCGGAGGAACAUGUGGUUUAAUUCGAUGAUACGCGAGGAACCUUACCUGGGCUUAAAUGUAGAGUGCAUUGCUUGGAAACAGGCAUUUUCUUCGGAACUCUUUACAAGGUGCUGCAUGGUUGUCGUCAGCUCGUGCCGUGAGGUGUCGGGUUAAGUCCCAUAACGAGCGCAACCCCUAUUGUUAGUUACCAGCACGUAAUGGUGGGGACUCUAGCAAGACUGCCGGUGUAAACCGUGAGGAAGGUGGGGAUGACGUCAAAUCAGCACGGCCCUUAUGUCCAGGGCUACACACGUGUUACAAUGGCAAGUACAAAGAGCAGCCACCUGGCGACAGGGCGCUAAUCUCAAAAGCUUGCCUCAGUUCGGAUCGAAGUCUGCAACUCGACUUCGUGAAGGUGGAUUCGCUAGUAAUCGCGCAUCAGCCAUGGCGCGGUGAUACGUUCCCGGGCCUUGUACACACCGCCCGUCAAGCCAUGGAAGCCGGG